CCGCACCGCUGCCCCCCGUCCUGCUUUGCCCCGGCCCGACCCGUGUCGCUCUGCGCGGAGCCGGCCGCCCCGCGCCCCAGCCGGGAUGCAGAGGAGCCGGGAAGAAGCGGAGGGGCUCACGGCUCCCCGGCCCCGCUGCUUCGGGCCCCUAUCACCGGCACUUCCCGGGGGCCGCUGGCACGGCACGCGGAUAUCAGGUGGGGACGAGGGAGCAGCCGCGGGACCGGGGCCUUCCCGAUAACUGAUUUGCAUGGAUGCCAAUCUCUUCCUUCCUCUUUCCCUCACCGCUGGCCCUCUCUCACCUGCACCUGCCAGGCUGCUGGGGAUGCACGGCUCACACAGGGCCGUGCGGACCCGCGGUAGGAACUGGAUGCACCCGCAUUGGUGCUCCCAAAGCAGCUCCAUCUUCCUGCUCCAGGCUCAUCAGUCGUCGCUCCCUUUCAGGUCCCACAGAGUUCCUUUCUUGGCACCUUCACGCUGCCCAUCACUGACAGUUCCUCGCCAUCAGCACAUCCCAGUCCCUCCAUCUGUGUCCUAGGAACAGCUAACUGGGCAGUGCAGUCAGGACUGAGCUGGAAACAGAACCGCUCAGCACAGGACAUCCUCAGUCGUGCUGUCCUACUGCAGGGGACAGCAACCGAGCUGUGCAGGACACAGCACCCAUGUCUUCAUUCCUGCUCUCCUCAUGCCAUCAUCUUUCUGAUUUGGGAGAGGCAGAACACUUUCCAUAUACACCUCUGCACACAACUCCAGUGUUUCACUAAUGGCACCUCACAUCAGGGAGCAGUGCAAGCUGCAGUGUGUUUUCCCAUAUACAUUCCUUCCCCUCCCUGUAUCAGAUAGGACAGAUUUGGUAGCACCUUAAGCUGGAGGGACCCUGGCAUGGCUGACAGACAGAACUCCCCAGCAAUUCAUGCACAGCUGCCUUCAGGGAGCAGCAGGUCCAGCCAAACCCCUCUGUUCACCCCCUAAUGACGUUCCCUCCCUGUUCAACCCUGCAGGUGCCCUCUCCCAGGGACACUAAGCCUCCAUUAUGAUGAAUUCGGGUUAUCCCUCACUGUGAUUUCUUAACUGUUUUGGGGCCAGCUCCAGGGAAACAUCCUUGCUCAGGGCAGCACUUACACACGUUUGAAGGGACACACUUGCAUCACUCUUUCUGGAGACAAGGGUUCUCAUCUCACAGGGGAAUUCUCCUUGCUCUCACUGCCGCUUAUGCCGGAACUGUUCUUUUCCCAAAGUGGGUUUUGCCUCAUGUAAACACAAAACAUGUUUGCUUUCCAGAUAUAAUUUCACUCGGGCAUAGGAAUUCAUUGAGAAUUUGCGGUUUCAGUGGGUGAAAGUGAACAGAAGAGCCCCAGACAAGCAGAGUGCUUGCUGAGGGAUAUGGAGCACUGGGCAAGCACAGCCACCCGACCGGGGCUGCUCAGCUCUGCCACCACCACAGAGAUAAAUGAAUCACAUGGGAACAGCAGCACCUGCGAGGGAGCCGUGAGAGCUGGGGAGAGGUGAUGUUCCACGGCACAAAAUGCAAAAAGCUGUCAGUACCUCUGUCUGCAGGAUGGCUUCCUCCUCAGACCAAAGGGAUGAUCUGCAUAUUUUUGUCCCAAAUAAAAUGUGUGGAAGGUGAAGCUCCUGGAUGUGGGAACAGAGCCCAGCAGCGCAACAUGGGGAUCAAGAAGUUAGCAGGAAUACAGCAAACUCUAUAGCAAAACAGAGCUGCACCAACCCAGGAGUUCCACUGCAAGAGAGGUGCUCUCAGCCUUUGGGAGAGCUGUGCAGGAGCUCUGCCUGAUCCCACGCCUAAGGCCAGCUCCUUGCUCCCCCAGUUAGCAUGUAAGCAUUGGAGAAGAAACGGAGUUCCUCACAUGUCACCCACCCACCUAAAUCCCCCACGUCCUCGUAACUCUGCUCCCCUUGUUCCCAAUCCUAUCCUUUGCGUUCAGCACGGGGAUCAUAUGCAAACCUGAUGGGCACUGGGGGAGCAAUCCGCUGAAGGAGACAACCAAGAUUCAGCAUUCACACUCCUUUCAGUCGGAGUACAGCACCUGCCUACAGGACAAAUGCCACAGAGGAGGGCAGCAGUGACCUGAGUUGGGCAGCAGCUGCCCUUCAGCCACCUCUGAUGCAUGCUGCACCACCCCCACUGGCCCCAGCUCUAGUUUAGCUGCUCCCAUCACCUAACCCUACCUAAUUUCUAGCCGAUUUUAUGUAUAUCUUUUUAAGUAAAUUCCAGUCAUUGUGCACGGGGAGCAAAAAGACAGGCUGUAGGAGAGAAUGGAGUGUUGCCCCCAACUCACAGCAGGGAAGUGUGGGGGAAAGCAGCUGGGUCUGGGCUGCAGACUGGGCUGACUGAUCUCUGGCUGUUUGCCUAUACAGAGCACUGAGCAGAUACCAGUCUGGCAACUGCUGCCCAUGAGCUUGUCUCUGACAGUGCUGAAACCUUUUGGCUAAGUAGUCUUUAUUCUGGACAGUUGUGGGAUAAGUUAUCAGAGAGGAAUUUCCUUCUUAUCUUUGUUGGUUAGGCAUUGGCUUAGACUUUGAAGUAUAUAGGAUGCAUCUGCCUUUAUCUCCCCUGCUUUUCCCAGCAGGGGUGAGGAGAAGCACACAGAGUAUUCCCAAUAAAGGUGCAUCCCAGGCUCACUGAGUGCCAAUACAAUACCAUCUGGGUCAGCUCCCAUCCUGUUAUAACACCACCCCUGCAUGGUUCCCAGAUAUGAACCACUUAGAGCCUUUGGGGCCUUUGGUCUCCACUUCCUUGCAAUGUUUCGGGAGUGCCAGCACAGCUCACCCCAUGGCCACAUACCCUCAGCAUGAAAUGCCUUUGAGAUACCCCACUCACAACUUGUUUCAAUCCCAUGCUUUGCCAUGCUUCCUACAGCAGGAAGCACUGCAUAACUCCUAGCAGCUCCAGGAGCACGAUUCUCUUUGCAGAGGAAAGUGAGCUGCAGACCUCUCUGCUAUGCAGCUGAGCAGGUGGGUGUGCAGAGGGGACGUGCAGAAUGGCCAUUUCAGCAAUGUACCUGGGACUGAAAUAAGAUGUGUAUCUGCAGCUCUGCCCUCCUCUAUUUUUGCACACAGCUGCUGGUCUCUAUCAGUCACUGUUCCUGACGAACUGCUGCUUGAUCAGGGGCAUGCUGCUCUCAGACACAUCCACAUUUCCUUUAAUAACUUCCAUGGCCUAAGGGUGCCUCAUCUGGACCCAGAGCUGCACCGGUAGGGAGUUAUCUUGGUUUUCGGUUUAGGAAUUAUUUGAUUUCUUUGCAGCACCCUUACCUUCCUUAGCUGCCCUACUUUCCUCCAUGUUCUCAGUCAAUCUGUAAGCCCUCUCCUGGCUUCCUACUUCCAUCACGUUUAAAGGUCCUAUAAGUUUUACUGUGUUUUUGUGCUUUACAUUCUCUCCUUACCCACCAAGUUCUCACCUCCCAUGUUCCCUGCUGCCAUCUUUCCUGACUGACUGCUCUGAGGUUGGAUGCUCACUGUCUGAAGGAUACCUCUUUGCCUUGAAUAACUUCUCCCGCCUUGCUCCCUAAGCAGACGGUGGGCUUCCCUGCCUUCCUUUGGAGACUGCUGUCUGCUGCAGUGGCGUUAGUAGGGACAAUGAAAAAGCUCUCCUUUAUCCCCAAACCUUCCUUUCCACAAUGCUCUCUCUCCUCCUUCCCCAUUUCAUUCCCUCACCAUGGCUUUUUUACCCCAUUCCCUGCAUACUUCACUUUCUCACUUUCCUGACUUUCUCUGUCCCUCCCCCCAUGCUCCCUCCUUCCUCCUCUGCCUCCCUUCUUCCCUCCUCUCCUUGGCUCGGUAUCUGAAAUCCCUGCCCAUAGCGACGAAAGGAAAAACAACAACACAACACUGCAGCCCAAGGAGGCCGGAGCACGGGAUUCCUUCCGAGAGAACUCAGAAACCAGGGAAAAGAGGGAAAGCAAACAGAGAGCAGGAAGAAGAAUUGGGUAUUUCGAGGGGGAGGGAUGAGCUGGUAUCUCAGGGAAACGCAGUGGGGUCUGAGAACAACACAGAGGGUGAUCACAGCUCCAACCCAAACACUGCAGAGAAGUUCUGUGUUCUGGGGGAGGAGGCUGCUUUGGGAAGCCUGGCACCCACCGACAGAGCCCCACACACAGCUACCCAAAGGACAGAGAGAACUGUGCAGAUGGGAAGGGAAGAAAAGCAGCGCCUUGCUGCAGGGAGCAGAGGGGCAGUGGAUGUUUGUGCAGCAGAGGAGGGCUGCCUCCCACAGCACGGAGAUUUGCUUUGCCAGAGGAAGCGUUUGGAGGCUCUGGGCCUGGGGCUAAAGGGUUAAUACCCCACAGGAGGGCCCUGGGGAAUCCACUGUAAAUAGGUGUGGUUUUCUGUGUAGUUCCAAGAGGCAUUUUCUCUCUGUACCAGUCUGGACAGGUGAGAAAUCGGAAGAAGUUGGAGCCUGUGCUUCCCACCAGCACAAAGCAGGGCUGUUAGCACAGGCCUGACUGUUUGUUUGCACACUCCAGCCUGGCUGCUUAACUCCGUAGUACCCAUUGCCAGGAAUCGCUGGCAGUCAGCACGGUGGUCCCCCGGGUACAAGCACCUGCCUGUUAAUGGAAAGCCACAGAUUAAUGGUGCAGCACAAGGAGCCUCAGUCAGUUACUCACUGUAGAAAGGAUAAAUUUGGUGAUAAGCAAAAGAGCUCAAUACAGCAAGGACGGGAAAGGCAGCCCUCUUCCUUUCUCCUCCUGAUGACUCUACCUCACGGGCCUGUGCCCCUCUGCCCCUGACCCCAGUAGCACACUUGAGAACAAUCUCCCAGUCUUCAAUUGAUUUUUAAACCUAGCUGGCCCCCAGGAAGUCAGGACUGAAAGAUCGCUGAACUCAGCCACAAGCUGUAAUGCCAUCACUUAUAUAAUCCCUAUCAUAAACAAACCAAGCUCAGUCUUGAAACCAAUUUGGAUUUUGCUCUCACUGUUCCCACUAGAAAGCUGCUCAAAGAUCAUACUGCUAAGAAAGGAAGAAACAUUUUGUUAAUCUCCAGCCUAAAUUUACCCAUUUCUGUUUGCUCUGGCAAUGAAAAACAGCACCCAGGCAGCAAAGCGCUGGAUAAGACAUAAAACUUAGAACAGAAUUCAAACAAAUCAAACUGAAUCACAAAGAAUAAAGCCAAAGAAUGAAAAGUGAACUGUUUGCAAAGCAAUUGACCUUAGAUUUGGAGAUGUUCGCUCCCUGGACCAUUUCAGAUCCUGUGGGCUUCUCAGCCCUCUAGAGCACUCACGUCUCUCUGGUUCCCCAAGUUCUUGUUAGAGACAUGAUCCCACUGGAGCCCAGUACCAACUACUCUUCUGAAAACUGCUUCCAGAAAAAGACAUUUGCAUGAAGAUACAUCCUCAACUCAAUGCCCUCACAUGACCACAGCCAAACUGCAGCCAAAUCCCUGGAGAGCUUCAGGUAAGGAAGGAGAGUGCAGAGCUGCAGAGAGAGCACGAGUGUCCAAAGUGCAACAUACAGAAUAGCAAAAUGAGCCUACAGAGGGCUGAGAGCAUAAGAAAGGAUACUAGAAAGCCCCAGGAAACAGAAAAAUGCAGGUGUCAAACCUUCCUUCUGCCUUUCACUCAUGGUCACCACUGAAAUCAGCAAGAAAAGUUGUUUAUAUUAGGCUUUUAGUCAAGUUCCAUUUACAAGAAGCCAAAAUGAUGAUACUAAACCCAAAGGCACUCCAUAUCCAGCAGAAAUAUGGCUCCCCAACUUACGUUGGUAGAUAGAGCUGAGACAUGAACACAACACUGAAUCAUAGGUUCCUGUCAUCUAACGGUGGAGGAUAAUGGGAAAGAAGACAGAGAUGGGGAAAACCAGCUGCUCCUCUUGCUGGAUUGUGCUGUGAAUCUGUAGGCUCUGUUUGGGAUAAAACAGCACUUAUUUCCAAGGCAACAAAUGGCAGUGUCACAAACAACAGAGGUCCAGGAGCUGCCUGCAGGUUGGAAGCUGAGAGAAAGAAUGUCUUCCCCAGAAGCACAGGCAGAGAUGAGGCAGGCCCCCAUGCUCCAGCUCAGGGCAACAUUCUGCCACUGUCUCUCUAUUCAAGACCUUUUCCCUGCUCCUCCCAUUUACAAGGCAUCUAUACGGACAAAAAAACGUUCUGUUGUGCCUGCAUGAGGUAAAUGCUGACGUUCAAGGGAAGGAUCAUAAAGCUAGCCCUGAGGGUCCUUCAGGGAGAAAACAGAGCUGAAAAGCUAAGACUAAGGCUCAGAGAGACACUGGGCAAGGUAGAAAAUGUCACAUCAGCAUGACUUACUUUACAAUCAUCCAGUGUGGCCAUGCUUCUAGAGCUGCUACAGAAGAUGAAGCGCAGCUGGACCUGGAGGAUACCAAGCUGGAUCAAAGCUGGAGGCAUAAAAUUACAGCAGAAAGAGAAUCCUUCUUCAGGGAAGGAAUGAGGCUGAGCAGGAGAAACAGGAGCAAUAAGCAUGAGAGACACUAAUUUACGUAAGCCACUGAGUGCUACAGAGGGAAUGUCCUGCAGAGCACAAUCAGUUCAGGAGAAAGAUAGAUAAAGAACAGAGCUGGGCUGUUUGCUGGGGUUGGAGGUUAUUUGCUGGGAGCCAAGUGGGCGAGCAAAGUAUACAUGAAUUCACUGCAUGGGACUAAGUUUGGGUGCAACAAAGAGAGGGGAAGUGAGUGGGUAAAGUCAGGGAAGACAAAGUAGGAAGAGAAACUAGGAGUGGGACUCCAAUAGUAGAUAGUAGAAGUAGUAAUCACAGGAAAUAAUAGCUGCAUGGAUUUUGAGAGCUUAGGUGUCUGUUUAAAAAUGCAGACACGGUAUCCAAAACAUUUGAAUAAACUGGCCUGUGUAGCUCCAUCUGCAGAACAGGGAUGUCCUAAGUACCAGGGGAGCUGAGGAUGGGUGUGCAUCUCUCAUGCAGGGGCACAGUUGCAGUUCCUGAGAAAUUCACCCCGUGUCCUUCCAGCAUUCCUGGGACUCAGCUGGAGUGCUGUACCCGUGGUGGGGCUGAGUUCUGUUCCUUGGAACACAGAGCCAAGGAAUGGCACUCUGUGCAGAUAGCACUGGGAGAAGGAACAGUGGGGUGAGAGGGCUGCCCUGAGAGAGUGUUCAAAACCUCUUAGUGGGAAGAAGGACACGCGUAUGGAUGGGCAUGGGAAAUCCUAGAAGCAUCAGAAUGUGAGGGAGAAGGGUGAGGUGCAAAGGAUCCAGAGUUGACUUGUCAAGAUUGUGUAAACAAGAAACUGAGAGAUAAGAGAGGGAAGUGCAGGGCUUGCUGUGGAGAAGCAAAGACAGCUAGCCAGGGAGAAGGUGGGACCAUGCUGAAGGAUUCUCUGAAAGUUAUUAGCGGCACAGCCUCUGAGUGAGAACAGUUAAUAAGUUACAGGAGAGACCUCUAGGCAGAAUCAGGACAGGGCAAACAAAGAUCCCACUGUGUGAGGUUUCAGUGGGGUAACCUACAACUCCCUGAUGAGCCUGACAGUGGAACAAGGGGCAGACGAGAGGAGCAGAGUGGCAUCCCUUGAGACCCUUCAGCGAUCGGCAUGCUCUGCAGUUAGUGGGCUGCCAGGAAGGCCUGUGAGCCAGAGUUGUUGUACAAGCUGGACUGGACAUUCCAGGAACUGGAGAAAACCACAAGAUGCCUUUGUGACGUGGACAAAGUGUGCGUAGAGCGGACUAGUACACGCAGAUGUCUCAGCUUGUUCCAGCUGAUUGGCACCAACUGAUUCCCCCAAAGCCUGGGGCAGAUGUGCUCCAUGUAAAACUAGACUCCUCACUGACAUGAAAAUGUGCGAAAUGGUGAAACCAGUUUUAGCUUGUGGCAGCAAAAGGACAAAUGAGCCCCUUAUGGGCUUUUCCAAAGAGAUGUGGUACCUCCAUUUUAGAGUGGGACAGGUUUCUGCCCUUCCUUCCACUGCUUAGUUCUGCACAAGCACCUUCCUCUGCACUCUGUAACUCCAUUGGGGCUUCUCAUUGACAGGCAGUGAAGAAGGAAGUCUUCCUUUUGAGCAUCGUCAGCCCUGAGUCACCGCUGGCUGGAUUUGUACUCCAGCAAUCCCAAGGAAAUCCGGCCUGAGAGGUGGUUAGAUGCUGCACAGCCUGAGCCUCAGCACCACUGACAAGCCAACAUAAAGCUUGCCUUCAGGAGCCAUGAAGGGAGCUCUGCAGAAUGGACAGUACAGGCACUGUGGCAUCACAGCAGUGAGGGAGCUGAACCGGGAGCUGCGAGGUGAAGGUCCCUGUUUAACAGCUUUCCGUUUGUUUACCGAAAAAAUAUUGUUCCAUCAUAAAAAUUCCCAAAAUA
This is a long non-coding RNA of Phasianus colchicus (ring-necked pheasant), 8267 nucleotides long. RefSeq lists it as uncharacterized. The record is from RefSeq and is a predicted model, not a curated record. NCBI's taxonomy places the organism in Eukaryota, Metazoa, Chordata, Aves, Galliformes, Phasianidae.